RNAcentral lists this ribosomal RNA (497 nucleotides) under uncultured bacterium. RNAcentral's name for it is "partial 16S ribosomal RNA". It matches the Rfam family "Bacterial small subunit ribosomal RNA", at positions 28 to 507 of the family's 1533-position model. The record is from RNAcentral.
GAUGAACGCUGGCGGCGUGCCUAAUACAUGCAAGUCGAGCGAACGGACGAGAAGCUUGCUUCUCUGAUGUUAGCGGCGGACGGGUGAGUAACACGUGGAUAAUCUACCUAUAAGACUGGGAUAACUUCGGGAAACCGGCGCUAAUACCGGAUAAUAUUUUGAACCGCAUGGUUCAAAAGUGAAAGACGGUCUUGCUGUCACGUAUAGAUGGAUCCGCGCUGCAUUAGCUAGUUGGUAAGGUAACGGCCUACCAAGGCAACGAUGCAUAGCCGACCUGAGAGGGUGAUCGGCCACACUGGAACUGGGACGCGGUCCAGACUCCUACGGGAGGCAGCAGUAGGGAAUCUUCCGCAAUGGGCGAGAGCCUGACGGAGCGACGCCGCGUGAGUGAUGAAGGUCUUCGGAUCGUAAAACUCUGUUAUUAGGGAAGAACAUAUGUGUAAGUAGCUGUGCACAUCGUGACGGUACCGAAUCAGAAAGCCACGGCUAACUACGUG